GAGUGCUUGUGGUGAAUCCUCACACCAGCAGUCGUGCUUUCGCUUGUCAUACUAGAACCAGGACGGGAGCUGAAAGACAGCAAGACGAUAACCUUACCUCUACCUUGGUGGGUUAAUUGGUUCUCUGUUGGUGAUAAAACUCCAUCUCAGCUAUAUAUAUGAAAGAAUUCAGAGAUCAUCUGAACAUCUGCUUAGAAAAUAAGCCAUGCAAUAAUGGAGAAGGACGUUUGAUCACUGUCACAGUCCUGGGCCUUCCUACUACCCUGCCAACAAUGUCAGCCACCACUUACCUUCACGUCUGUGAUUGUUCUGCUUUCCUCACUCUUGAGGCUUCAGCAGCUGCCAGGAAUUUGGUGCAGAGGAGAAGAACCUCCCACUGGUUGGGCUAAGGACACAAGUAACUUUUGGGCUAGAUAUUUAUUUAAAUAAUUUGAAUUGAUUGAUUAUGUGCAACCAAGUCAUUUUCUACUCCUAGCGAACACACAGAUAGAUUUUCUCCAUGACCAGGUCCCCAACCUGGUCUUCCAGGUCUUCCAACGUUGCAUUCAUUGCCACCACAAGAAUUGACCACUGUAAUAAUUCCUAGAUGGGACUCCAUUCUGCUAUAGCUGGACUAUGUCAAUUACAACCUUUCUGGAUUGUGUUGGUGGGGGGUCAGUCCAUCUUACUGUCUUUCAUGGCAAUGCCCAAUUGGCCAAUCCUUUUGAUUGUGAAGGAACUGGGAAAAUCACCAAAGUCUCUUUCAAGCUGAAUCCUGCUGUUGAUUGAUUGUCCAUAUUUCCUCUGGCACAAAAGUUAAUGUCACAUCACACACUGAUUCACUUUCUGUUGUUAUCCUGAAAAUUAAAUGUUUCAUCUUGCCUUGCAUCGCAUUUUGAUAUUCAAAAGUGAGAGGAAUGAUCUUGGCUGGAAAAAAACAACACAACAGCAGAGAGCUUCAGAAAGAUCCCUCCGAUGAAGAAUAGAUGUUUGCAAACAAAGUUGUAAUUUAGUAGCUACAGUAACAGUGUUUUCUUUUCCCUUAAUGGGUAACUUUCAACUGUGCAAAUGUUGCUGUAGGUAGAAAUACUGUAUAUGGAUGUUCGAUAUGUUUUUUUUCUUCUUAGUACAUAUAUGUGUAUAUGCGUACA
Long non-coding RNA from Python bivittatus (Burmese python), 1130 nucleotides. RefSeq lists it as uncharacterized. Lineage: Eukaryota; Metazoa; Chordata; Lepidosauria; Squamata; Pythonidae. The record is from RefSeq and is a predicted model, not a curated record.